RNAcentral lists this ribosomal RNA (245 nucleotides) under uncultured bacterium. Its description in RNAcentral is "partial 16S ribosomal RNA". It matches the Rfam family "Bacterial small subunit ribosomal RNA", at positions 524 to 768 of the family's 1533-position model. The record is from RNAcentral.
UACGGAGGACCCGAGCGUUAUCCGGAUUCAUUGGGUUUAAAGGGUGCGUAGGCGGCCCGGUCAGUCAGCGGUGAAAUGCCCGCGCUCCACGCGGGAGCUGCCGUUGAUACUGCCGGGCUGGAGUCUUAGCGAGGCGGGCGGAAUGCGCGGUGUAGCGGUGAAAUGCAUAGAUAUCGCGCAGAACGCCGAUUGGGAAGCCAGCUCGCCAGCUGAGUACUGACGCUGAGGCACGAAAGCGUGGGGAU